UACGAAGGGGGCUAGCGUUGUUCGGAAUUACUGGGCGUAAAGGGCGCGUAGGCUGUGCUGUAAGUCAGGCGUGAAAGCCCCGGGCUCAACCUGGGAAUUGCGCUUGAUACUGCGGCGCUGGAAGGUGGGAGAGGAUGGCGGAAUUCCCAGUGUAGAGGUGAAAUUCGUAGAUAUUCGGAAGAACACCAGUGGCGAAGGCGGCUCACUGGACUGGUAUUGACGCUGAGGUGCGAAAGCGUGGGGAGCAAACAGG
This 253-nucleotide ribosomal RNA is filed under the name uncultured bacterium. RNAcentral describes it as "partial 16S ribosomal RNA". It matches the Rfam family "Bacterial small subunit ribosomal RNA", at positions 524 to 776 of the family's 1533-position model. The record is from RNAcentral.